RNAcentral lists this ribosomal RNA (814 nucleotides) under Niphargus sp. ND598. Its description in RNAcentral is "partial large subunit ribosomal RNA". Lineage: Eukaryota; Metazoa; Arthropoda; Malacostraca; Amphipoda; Niphargidae. The record is from RNAcentral.
GCAUGCUCCACGGUGCUCACAACACAGCCACACACGAGGCGUGACCAGUGUUGUACGUGAGCCCGGAGCUUGCGCCUGCACCAAGAAUUAACCGAGAAAACAGGAUCAGCUCUGUUUAAGCCGGCGACGCACGCGCCACCAGGCCGGCGGGUUUGCCGUAGCUCACCCGCCACAGUCUUGCUUUCACUUCGCCUUCGGGUUUUGUGAGACCCUUAGACUUGCACACAUGCUAUACUCCUUGGCCCGUGUUUCGAGACGUGACCAAUGGUGCUGGACUUAACACCACUCAGACCAACGCCCGGCUGAGAGACCUUGCAUAAUGCAGCUGGGUCAAGACCGCCUGGGAUAGACACUUCCGGCACAGUGGAAGCGCCCGGACGUCGGUCUGGCCAGAAAGCAGCUCGUCGCAAGAGGAUCAUACCAGGUUUAUCUCGGUCGCCGCCCGACCCAGGACUAGACACGCGUCUGAGUCAAGUCUCUUUCGAGCCAUCAUCAACAACGCAUCGUUGCCAUCGUCCUGGAUGCGCGAUCGGCAGUUUGAGCCUGUGGGUGACCUCACAACGUGCUGUGGUGGGCAUAACCGCAUUAGACCAAGAGCCUCUGAACGUCCAUUCCAAAGGGCCGCUCGGGAGAUAGCUAAGCCGAAGCAAAGUCCCCCCUCGCUAAGCCCCCGCACGACAGCUAAACCUGGCAAACUCAAUGCUACGCCUGACGAGCUUUACUCAAGGUCUUAAGAACACCACGUAUGAUGGACCCGACUGCGGAAGCCUUCCAAGCUCCAUUGGCUUAUACUCUGAGCGGUUUCACGGUCUUU